GAUGAACGCUGGCGGCGUGCUUAACACAUGCAAGUCGAACGGAAAGGCUCCUGCUUGCCGGGGUACUCGAGUGGCGAACGGGUGAGUAACACGUGGGUGAUCUGCCCUGCACUUCGGGAUAAGCCUGGGAAACUGGGUCUAAUACCGGAUAGGACGAUGGUUUGGAUGCCAUUGUGGAAAGUUUUUUCGGUGUGGGAUGAGCUCGCGGCCUAUCCGCUUUUUGGUGGGGUAAUGGCCUACCAAGGCGUUGGCGGGUAGCCGGCCUGGGAGGGUGUACGGCCACAUGAGGCCUGAGAUACGGCCCAGACGCCAACGGGAGGCAGCAGUGGGGAAUAUUGCACAAUGGGCGCAAGCCUGAUGCGGCGACGCCGCGUGGGGGAUGACGGCCUUCGGGUUGUAAACUCCUUUCGCUAGGGACGAAGCGCAAGUGACGGUACCUGGAGAAGAAGCACCGGCUAACUACGUG
RNAcentral lists this ribosomal RNA (466 nucleotides) under uncultured bacterium. RNAcentral describes it as "partial 16S ribosomal RNA". It matches the Rfam family "Bacterial small subunit ribosomal RNA", at positions 28 to 507 of the family's 1533-position model. The record is from RNAcentral.